UCAGGAUUUAUCAAGAAUACAAAGUGAAUCAAGGUCAUGACUCAUUCGUGGAUCAUAAGAUUGAUUCAGUGGGCUGCAAAAAGUUAAACCAAAGAGAAUGAAUGUAUCAGAGUCUAAGACACAUAACAAGGCAGCGCUUGGAAAUAAAGCAGAACCAUGCACCCAGCAACACCUUUGAUCUCAACCAUAUGGAGCUCCACCAAGCUCUGGGAAAAAAAUCUCCCUUGCCUCCACAGCCGGCCGAGGGAAGUGGAGGCCCCCAGAUGGCCGGAUACCACGGGCGCCCGCACCCUAUGGACUGAUUCGUCUUCUGAUUGGUCCCCAUCACAGAGGCAGAGGACUCGCUUCUCGCGCUGGAGGCAAAUCCAUGUCCCCGACAUUGGUGAGGUUGAUGCCUUUGGCAGCUUGGUUUUUGGGGACAAAUAUUCGAAUAAACAGACCUGACCCCGGGGGGUUUGUUUUAGAGUGGGGUCUCACCAUCAGGACAGAGCGAGUAUGUCACAGGCUGGCACAGGGGACAGGAGCUGAGCCAUCACAUCCCUUAGGCCUGCCUGGAAAG
Molecule: long non-coding RNA, 559 nt
Organism: Lemur catta (Ring-tailed lemur)
Lineage: Eukaryota; Metazoa; Chordata; Mammalia; Primates; Lemuridae
Exons: 3
Source: RefSeq, a predicted model, not a curated record